UUGAAGAGGGAGAUCAGCCGGGGAGCAAGACCGCGCUUGAAGGGGCCCGUCCGAUUCUAGUUGGGGGUAAUGUCACCAAGAACGAUCGAGCCGGCCAGAGGGCGCGGCCACAGGGACUGACACGGCCCACUCCUACGAGGCAGCUGGGGAAUUUCGCAAUGCGCAAGCGACGACGCCGCCGCGUAGGAUGAACCUUCGGGGUAAACUCUUCGAUCGACGAAUGGUUCGGGUGUAGCCCGGGAGUGACGACCGAGAGGAAGCCCCCUAACUCCGCCAGCAGGCGGUAAUGGGGGGGGAGCGUUGUGGAAUUACGGCGUAAAGCUCGUAGGGCCAACUGUCAGACGAAAUCCCUGCUUAACCGGAACUGCCUGAUACUGGAUGGGCUUGAAAUCCCGGARAGGGAUGC
Molecule: ribosomal RNA, 406 nt
Filed under: uncultured bacterium
Lineage: Bacteria
Description: partial 16S ribosomal RNA
Source: RNAcentral